This 461-nucleotide ribosomal RNA is filed under the name Lachnospiraceae bacterium canine oral taxon 024. Its description in RNAcentral is "bacterial SSU rRNA". It matches the Rfam family "Bacterial small subunit ribosomal RNA", at positions 9 to 452 of the family's 1533-position model. Lineage: Bacteria; Bacillati; Bacillota; Clostridia; Lachnospirales; Lachnospiraceae. The record is from RNAcentral.
GAGUUUGAUUAUGGCUCAGGAUGAACGCUGGCGGCGUGCCUAACACAUGCAAGUCGAACGAAGCAUAUAGAAGGAAGUUUUCGGAUGGAAUUUUAUAUGACUUAGUGGCGGACGGGUGAGUAACGCGUGGAUAAUCUGCCUUACACAGCGGGAUAACAAGUGGAAACAGUUGCUAAUACCGCAUAAGCACACAGUAUCGCAUGAUACAGGGUGAAAAGAUUUAUCGGUGUAAGAUGAGUCCGCGUCCCAUUAGCUAGUUGGUGAGGUAAAAGCUUACCAAGGCGACGAUGGGUAGCCGGCCUGAGAGGGUGAACGGCCACAUUGGGACUGAGACACGGCCCAGACUCCUACGGGAGGCAGCAGUGGGGGAUAUUGCACAAUGGGCGAAAGCCUGAUGCAGCGACGCCGCGUGAAGGAUGAAGUAUUUCGGUAUGUAAACUUCUAUCAGCAGGGAAGAAAAU